RNAcentral lists this ribosomal RNA (1086 nucleotides) under Triticum aestivum (bread wheat). RNAcentral describes it as "partial small subunit ribosomal RNA". The record is from RNAcentral. Lineage: Eukaryota; Viridiplantae; Streptophyta; Magnoliopsida; Poales; Poaceae.
AUGAUGAUGGCUUGCGUCAAGACCAUGCAGGAGGGCACAGCGCCUCCGGUGACCAUGGUCUCGACAAGCAUCGAAGCCGUGCAGGAGGACGCAACACCUCCGACGACCACGGCACCGGAAACCGUUAAGUCCGCGCGGGAGGCACGAAGCUCUUCAACUAAUCCCCUCCCGACAUCGAUAGCGCUCUACCCGACAACAAUGUUCUCGGGAGACUACGAUUGGGAGGAGAUGAAGACCCGGGUGUGGGGGAGCCACGGCCUGGCAACCACGUCCCCUGCGACGCUGGUCAAGCCCAUGCAAGUUGGCACGGCAAAGGCAUCCCCGACAUCCUCGGGACCCGACAAGCCCGUGUCAGGAGGCACCGCAACGACACAUCUGGUGGGCCACGUCCCGACCAUGAUGAUGGCGACCAGUGAGCCCGUGCAAGAGGCAUGGCACUCUGAGGUCGGCCACACCCCGACAACCAGGUUCUCGGCGUUCUGCAAGCCCGUGUGGGCGACACGGCACUCUUCGACAAGCCUCAACUGGGAGGCAAUGAAGAGACGGUCAUGGGGCGGCAAGGCCUCGACCGAGACUACGACGACCAUAGAGUCCGUGCAGGAGGCACAACACUCUUUGGUCGGCUAUGCCGUGACCCCGACGCGCUCGGGGUCCAUCGAGUCCGUGCGGGGCGCACCGGACUCCGUAGUUGGGCACGACCUGACUACGCUGGUGGCGGCCGUCGAGACCGUGCAGGAGGCACGGUGCUCUAUGGUUGGCCACACCGCAGCCCCGACGCACUCGGGGUCUAUCGACUCCGUGCGGGUGGCACGACACUCUCUGGAAGGGCAUGCCCCAACCACGCUGGUGGCGACUGUCGAGACCGUGCAGAAGGCACGGUGCUCUAUGGUCGACGACGCCGCAACCCCGACGCGCUCGGGGUCCAUCGAGUCCGUGUGGGAGGCACGACUCACAACUGUCGGGGGAGACCCGACAAGCAAGUCUGAUGGGAGAGCGACAAGGAGUCCAAUACCUUGGGAGAAGCCACUCCGGGUAGUGCGAUGUCCGACAAGUCAUCCCCGGGAAGGGAGUUCCCGGGUAGCAUGA